GUAGGGAAUCUUCGACAAUGGGGGCAACCCUGACCGAGCAACGCCGCGUGAGUGAAGAAGGUUUUCGGACCGUAAAACUCUGUUGUUAGAGAAGAACGUUAAGUAGAGUGGAAAAUUACUUAAGUGACGGUAUCUAACCAGAAAGGGACGGCUAACUACGUGCCAGCAGCCGCGGUAAUACGUAGGUCCCAAGCGUUGUCCGGAUUUAUUGGGCGUAACGCGAGCGCAGGUGGUUUCUUAAGUCUGAUGUAAAAGGCAGUGGCUCAACCAUUGUGUGCAUUGGAAACUGGUAGACUUGAGUGCAGGAGAGGAGAGUGGAAUUCCAUGUGUAGCGGUGAAAUGCGUAGAUAUAUGGAGGAACACCGGUGGCGAAAGCGGCUCUCUGGCCUGUAACUGACACUGAGGCUCGAAAGCGUGGGGAGCAAACAGGAUUAGAUACCCUAGUAGUCC
RNAcentral lists this ribosomal RNA (450 nucleotides) under uncultured bacterium. RNAcentral describes it as "partial 16S ribosomal RNA". It matches the Rfam family "Bacterial small subunit ribosomal RNA", at positions 354 to 796 of the family's 1533-position model. The record is from RNAcentral.